This is a long non-coding RNA of Raphanus sativus (radish), 703 nucleotides long. RefSeq lists it as uncharacterized. The transcript is spliced from 3 exons. The record is from RefSeq and is a predicted model, not a curated record. Lineage: Eukaryota; Viridiplantae; Streptophyta; Magnoliopsida; Brassicales; Brassicaceae.
AUAUGGGUAUUGGUAGCAGUUCACGGUAGCACGAAUUCACGAAGUGCUACUAAAAGUUUGAAAAUCCGAAACCAGACCUUUUAGUAGCGUUAACUAAGCGCUGGCGAAAAAUUUCAUUAACCCGGGAAAUAAAAUGAAUAAAAAAUACAUUGAUUUCGGUUAAGUGUCGGUAUAGAAAGUAAUUUGGGCAAAGGACUUGGUUAUUUUUUUUACGUUUUCUUCGUCUCCUUCACUCCGAAACCAUCGACGACGCAUGCAAAAGUUCAAGGACUCGAUCUCUCCGAUAUUUCACGAAGAUCUUCUGCCUGUGGUGUUCUCGUCACCGGCGGUCAGAUUCCAGCUUUGAGGCGAUGAAGAUUUGGAGGAGACAAGUCAGGUUUGAGCUUUUGAUUGUUCCUUUCUGGAGUGAAGUCGAGUUGAAGACAGAAACAGAUCUUAUUGAGGUGAUUCUUUUCGACUAUUUCUAUGUUCAUGUGUUUGAAUUGUUUGGUGACUGAUUGUUGAUUGUUGAUUGACAAUGUGUGUGUUUGGUGUUUGACAUAAUCUUAUGUUGUGUGGUGUUUGUUUUGAUUUUUUUGGUUAUCGGUUAGAAACUUUAGAACAUAGAAAUGAUCGAAAAGACAUGGGUGUGAGGGAUUAAACUCACCUCCUGAUUUUAGGUCAGGUUAAGAUUUAGGAAAAAGUUAGGGAAAGAUAACGUGGG